This 253-nucleotide ribosomal RNA is filed under the name uncultured bacterium. RNAcentral's name for it is "partial 16S ribosomal RNA". It matches the Rfam family "Bacterial small subunit ribosomal RNA", at positions 524 to 776 of the family's 1533-position model. The record is from RNAcentral.
UACGUAGGGUGCGAGCGUUGUCCGGAAUUACUGGGCGUAAAGAGCUUGUAGGUGGUUUGUCGCGUUGUUCGUGAAAUCUCACGGCUUAACUGUGAGCGUGCGGGCGAUACGGGCAGACUAGAGUACUGCAGGGGAGACUGGAAUUCCUGGUGUAGCGGUGGAAUGCGCAGAUAUCAGGAGGAACACCGGUGGCGUAGGCGGGUCUCUGGGCAGUAACUGACGCUGAGAAGCGAAAGCGUGGGGAGCGAACAGG